CAAAGGAAAAUAAUAAAAACAAUACAUUCAAUUGGGAGGAAGUUAAUAUACAGUAUAAUUGUUCAAAAAUAUUAAAAUUUGAAAGAUACAUAAAUAAAAUGAAUUUGAACUUGUUGAUGUUGUUUUCAACCAACAAUAAAAAGUAAAAUUCAAAAAUAAAUUCGAACUUGACUGCAAUAAUACUUGGAAUCGAAGAUUCCUAAAUAUUGUACGAAAUGUAAGAAGAAUAAAAGCAAACUAAUACUGAAAAGAAAAUAAAGAUGAUCCCCAAAGCGAAUUUUCACUGAAAUUGAUGCUGAUUGAAAAUGCCUUCUACCGGAUGCAAAUCGCCUGUUAUAUGUUCUCUAAAUCAGUUAUCAGAUCUUAUGUGAAGUCGGUUGUAACUGGCUGAACACCCCCCCUCGUGGUUGCAACCGCCUGAAGAACCGUCUUCGGUUAUGUUUCGUGCUACCAACUGACCAACCGACUAGACCAGGCGACUGAUCAACCGACCAAUCUAGCAACUGAUUAACCGACCAACCAUGCUCAUGGCCAACCGACCAAUCAAACGACUGAUCGACCGACCAAUCAAGCGACUGAUCAACCGACCUGUCAAGUGACCGAUCAACUGACCUGUUUCUUUAAUGGGCGUCCGAAAGCCCACUUUCUUUUUGGGUUUAUCUAUGGGCCCAAACGUUAGAAUCCAGCUAUAGGCCCAAUAAAAACCCUAAAAUAUUAUAAUAUAUAACAAUUUGUCUCCCCCCGCCCGACUCCCUAUCGUCACUUCUCGAUCAGUGUUAGAUGUGACGUUGUUAGGGAGUUUGUUCAUCAUGGCGCUGUCUAAUCACGGGGUUUUGUAAAAACCCCACUUAAAAUCCUUCCACUUCCAUCUUCUUCCUUAUGCCUUCUCAUUUCCACAUACAUUUUUCUCUCUCGCUGAACCUACUUCUUCUUUUCUCAUUCGAGCUUCACCAUUCUACUACCAUGGCCAACCAGUAUGUUCCAGCUUUGCCCUUCGAUGGCUUUGAUCCGAAAAUCCCUUUUGUUUCCUCUGUUGUGCUUACCCAACUCUUCGCCCCUACUGUACUUCUUCUGAGGAUGCUUCUCGCAUGAGGAGCAUCAUUUCUUCAGUUACCCUCUAGCCAUUAACAACCUUGACUUCAAACCCGAACGCGUUAAUGACCACAUCAAAACCCACCUUACCGAUCCGAAAGAUGCCUUUCGUUCCUGGUAUUCCAGGUUAUCCCCCAUUUUUGGCGAACAAUGGAGACGACAGGGGAUGGACAAGGCCAUUUUUCUCUCAACUCAACCCCUUUACCUCAACGAUAAAGUCCUUCUAGCCAUGGCGGCCUUUUGGAAUGCCCAACUGGGCAUUUUCCUUCUCCCAAUUGGCCCGAUUGGCCCGACCUUGAUGGAUGUGGCUAUGAUUGCCCAUCUCUCUGUCGUCGGCGACGAUCCGGUGUUAGGUUCGCUGGAUGGUCAGGAGCCGGCUUCUGACCACGAGGGCUGGUCGUUCGCCCGUACCUUUGAGAAAGAUCGGGGCUGGACAAAUUUUGUUGUCCGACAUCAGGGUGCGGACGGUGCCCCAACAACCGCCCUGGAACACACCGCCUUCCUCAUAUUCUGGUUGUGCAGGUAUGUGGGUUUCUUUGUUUCGGUCAAUUUUAUAUAUAUUUAUUCGAAAUUUGAAUUAUCCCUGUAUCCUUUACAGAUACAUAAUUCUCUGCCCCUUCAAAUCAGUUUUGACCUCGCAAUUAAAUUUAGCCAUUCAUCUUGCCAAUGGCCAAUUAUUUUAAUUGGGAACCCUCUUUUUGGCCAAUUUAUAUGAGGGUUUGUCCAGAGUCAGUGUCCACCUUCUGGACACUAAAAGGGCGGACACGGCCACCUCUGGCCCUUUUUUGUUCCUUGAGCUCUGGCUACGGCUGUAUUUUCCAACAGUCUUUUUUGGUCGGCUACCCAUAUCCCCGAACCCUCAGAGGUCGCUAGGGUUAGCCCUUGCCCAGCUUACCCCAAACUAUUCCACUCCAUCCUUCCGACCCUGUAAUUACGGCCAUUUUUUCAGACGACCGUAGCAAUUCCAAAUUUUUUGUUUAUAAGACUUACGUCCAGUACGCCACCGAGCUGUUCUGGCCUUAUUCGGAUACCACUUACUCCCAUCCAUAUCCUGAUCCUUUACCUCAUCCGACCUAUCCCCAUUCUUGGGACUCGGCUCUCAAACCCCAAUCCCUUUUUUUUUUCUAGUCCUAGGUUUGAUAAGAAAACUCACAAGUCUUUUUACACUUUUAAUUAUCAGCCGCAAUUUUUGUCCCGACAGUUCGGCUGCUGUCAAGGUCUGCCGGGUCCACUCGCCCGACCUUAGCUAAUAACCCAAAGUCCCGACGGGUGAGUGAUCCUUACUCUAAUUUUGCCCUAUCUUUCCCAACUUUUUUCUUAUCUUACGUCCAAUUCUUGUCUUCCUUUCCGCCGAGGCCCCAAGUCGGUUGAAGCUUUUCCUCCUGGUGGUCGGCCACCUGGGCUGUGGUGGCCCUUCCUUCUAACCAACUGUUGGAGAAAUUUAUUCCCCCUCCAGCCCUUGCCUUAGGCUAACCACCCCCUGCGGCCGUUCCUAAGAAGUGGUGGGCGGCUGCUGCUGAAGGCCCUAGUGCUCCGAAGACAAAUAGAGCCGCCCGCACCAAGGUCACCACGGAGCCGGCGUAUGAUCGGCAGGCGGUAGAAGACUACUUGGUGUCCUUACCUAUGGACCCCGCCUGGUUGCCCGCCAAUGUGUGCCGACACCUCGGUAAGGACUAACCUAACUCAACCUUCAUUUUUGUCUUUAUCUUAUGCGCUUCUGACAAUUCUUGUUUCCAAGUCGCUUCCCCCAACUACUGAGCAACCAACCGACCAGCUUGCUGAUCCACCAGCCGACCGACCAGCCGACCAACCACCAACCAACGAGCAGACUCACCAGCCGACCAACCAGCCGACCCACCAACCGAAGCGACAAUUCCUUCUUCGCCAGCUACGGUGGUUGCUCCGCAGCAGGUCGAACCACCAGUGGAACUGCCGUGAUUCGUCAGGAGAAGGACCUGACAUUGAGGCAGAUUCACUCUUCAUCCUCUACCUCUUCCCGACCAAAUGUUAUGGUACCUGCGGCGGUUGCUUCUAUAGAUGAACCAGUUGCCGCCGUCCAACAUCUAUCGGUGGCUCAUGAAUUGGUUCAACCGAACCCUGAACCAACCCCUCCGGCCCCUGAACCAGUCCAAAAUCCCGGGCCAGUCCAACACCCCGAACCAGUCGAGGUCUCUUCCUUGGAGUCGGGCGAUGCUUCCGUCAAUUAGAGUCAUGAAUAUGUGAACUGGGCUUCAUAGGUCCCCAUCUUGCAGCCGCCGAAUCGGUCGCCGGGAUGAGGAUCCGACCUGGUGCUCCGCCCCUGACCCCGGCUCUCCUGGCCCCUUCCGACGCCACGGCCGUCCUCACUCAGGCUACUCGUGAGAUCAACUUUCUCCCCAAAGUGCCUUUACUAGCCCCUGCCAGACCGGUGGUAGUGCGCUGUGCCGACUUAUCGUUUGCCGACUUGAGUCCUGGAGACCUUGAUUCUCUGGCUCAAGUGGCUAUCGACUUGUUGGUGAAGACUCCUGCUGAGUCUGUGGCAGCCCCAAUCCUCGAUCGGAUGAUGGUGAGGAUCACCGAGCUUCAGGCCGACCUUCCCUAGACUCUAGACGAAAGCAUCCAAGAGGAAAGUCGCCUGGUAACAGAACAACACCCGACUCAAGCAAGCCUCCAUGGCCAACUACAAGCGGGCAUUCAGUCGAGACUUGUACAAGAACACCAGACGGCUUUUCAGCAAUGGAGGACAGCCCGGUCUGCACAAAAAUGGGCAAACCUACAAACCGCCCUGAGAGCCCUCCUUUUGUAGAUAUAGACAAUGUCAUCCCUUGUAUAAAUAUAAAUUUUCACCUUAAUUUUAUCCUAUUUUUUUUUAUCACUGAUCCACGAAUUUGCACCAUAAAAUUACAACACAACUCGCCUAUUUAAAUCAAACUUCGAAAGAACAAUUCACAGCUAACCUUCAAACCCUCCAACACAUGGCUUCUCCCCGAAUCCGUAUUCCUGCCACCAACUCGGAAAGUUCCCUGCAACCAUUUUUUGUAGGCAAACACCCUAUAGGACACCAUGCUGAAGACCUGAUACAAGUGCUUAAACAACUCGACUUUAAAUUCAAGUUUUCUGGUAGGAGUAGGAAAAUCAUACACCGCACGAUUUGUUUGAUGGAACAUGUAUCCACUGGCUAUGAACCUCUUACCGAAAUUCUCACUCGCAUAUCCGACCUUGAUCAUCACAUGGACAUGAUAGAUCAUCAUGUCAUGGCCGUUCUCCCCGACCUCACCUAGAACAAUAUCUUAUAUCAACAAAGAUCAACACUCUCCAGAUUGCGCGUUCUUAUUGAGCGAGAACGUCACUCUUUACAAGAUGUGAAAGUUUGCACCGAACAAGACCUUCAAGAAAUGCAAGACCAAUGGGAUCGUUAUCGCCCCGACAUAGAAGAUCUCCUUGAUGAGGAACCUGAAAUGGUUACUGCAAAUUGGGACGGAGAUUUGGAGCCAGAAGAUGAUCACGUUUGUGUCACCCUUUCGGAUGACGAAUAAAAACCCUUCAUAUGGGUUCAAACCCUUAAAGGGUUCUUAUAUUUCUUGCAAUAAAAUUAAUGACAACGCUCUGAAAAGGCAGGAAAAUACCUUUUCAAAUACUUGGCAUUAAUAUUUUCAUGUAGUAACUUCCCUUCCUGAUUCACAAUAAUAAAAGCUCCGUUCCCGAUUUUCCUGUGAAUGAUGAAAGGCCCCUCCCAAUUUGGAUCCUUCCGAUGAUUCGGCCGGACCUCAACCGUAUGAAAUUUUCGUCUGACGUAGGAUCAGCAAUCUUGCCUUUCUCCCACUGUGGUCGCCAAAUUGUUGAUGUUGUUUUCAACCAAUAAUAAAAAGUAAAAUUUGAAAAUAAAUUCAAACUUGACUGCAUUUAUACCUGGAAUCGAGGAUUCCUAAAUAUUGUACGAAAUGUAAGAAGAAUAAAAGCAAACUAAUACUGAAAAGAAAAUAAAGAUGAUCCCCAAAGUGAAUUUUCACUUAAAUUGAUGCUGAUUGAAGAUAUCUUCUACCAGAUGCAAAUCGUCUGUUAUAUGUUCUCUAAAGCAGUUAUCAGAUCGUGUGCGCAGUCGGUUGUAACCGGCUGAACACCCCCCCUCGUGGUUGCAACCGCCUGAAGAACCGUCUUUGGUUAUGUUUCGUGCUACCAACCGGCCAACCGACUAGACCAGGCGACUGAUCAACCAACCAAUCUAGCGACUGAUUAACCGACCGACUAUGCUCCUGGCCAACCGACCAAUCAAGCGACUGAUCGACCGACCAAUCAAGCGACCGAUCAACCGACCUGUUUCUUUAAUGAGCGUCCGAAGGCCCACUUUCGUUUUGAGUUUAUCUGUGAGCUUAAACGUUAAGAAUCCAGUUAUAGACCCAA
Molecule: long non-coding RNA, 5472 nt
Organism: Andrographis paniculata
Lineage: Eukaryota; Viridiplantae; Streptophyta; Magnoliopsida; Lamiales; Acanthaceae
Exons: 5
Source: RefSeq, a predicted model, not a curated record